AGUUGGCGGGGUAAUGGCCCACCAAGCCGAAGAUGGCUAGCUGGUCUGAGAGGAUGAUCAGCCACACUGGAACUGAGACACGGUCCAGACUCCUACGGGAGGCAGCAGUGGGGAAUAUUGCGCAAUGGGGGAAACCCUGACGCAGCAACGCCGCGUGUGUGAUGAAGGCCUUCGGGUCGUAAAGCACUGUGAGGUGGAACGAGCCGCCGGGGGCUAAUACCCUUCGGCCCGACGGUACCACCAGAGGAAGCACCGGCUAACCCUGUGCCAGCAGCCGCGGUAAUACAGGGGGUGCAAGCGUUGUUCGGAAUUAUUGGGCGUAAAGCGCGUGUAGGCGGACCAUUAAGUCUGGUGUGAAAUCCCUCGGCUUAACCGAGGACGUGCAUUGGAUACUGGUGGUCUUGAGUCCUGGAGAGGGUAGCGGAAUUCCCAGUGUAGAGGUGAAAUUCGUAGAUAUUGGGAGG
This 464-nucleotide ribosomal RNA is filed under the name uncultured bacterium. Its description in RNAcentral is "bacterial SSU rRNA". It matches the Rfam family "Bacterial small subunit ribosomal RNA", at positions 247 to 704 of the family's 1533-position model. The record is from RNAcentral.